This 446-nucleotide ribosomal RNA is filed under the name Leviellus thorelli. RNAcentral describes it as "partial 16S ribosomal RNA". It matches the Rfam family "Bacterial large subunit ribosomal RNA", at positions 1826 to 2599 of the family's 2925-position model. Lineage: Eukaryota; Metazoa; Arthropoda; Arachnida; Araneae; Araneidae. The record is from RNAcentral.
UUCUUAUUGAAAUAAUAAUAAGUAAAACCUGCUCAAUGUAAAAACAAAUAGCCGCAGAACUUUUACUGUGCUAAGGUAGCAUAAUCACUAACCUUUUAAUUAAAGGCUUGUAUGAAAGGUUAAACAUUUAAUAACUUUUUUUAUUAUAAUCUUUAAAUUAUAUUAAAUAUAAAAAUAUAUUUAUUACCUAAUUAGACGACAAGACCCUUUUGAACUUUACUUUAGUUUAGCUGGGGCAGCUAAUUAAAAAACACCUUAAUAUUGUAACUUAGAUUCAAUGAACCAAUAUUAAUUGGAACAAGGAACAAGUUACCAAAGGGAUAACAGCGUAAUUUCUUUCUAAAGCUCUUAUCUAAAAAGAAGAUUGCGACCUCGAUGUUGAAUUAAUAUCCCUAAUAUAAUGCAAUAGUUUAUCAAGGAGGUCUGUUCGACCUUUAAUUUAUUAC